RNAcentral lists this ribosomal RNA (455 nucleotides) under uncultured bacterium. RNAcentral's name for it is "bacterial SSU rRNA". It matches the Rfam family "Bacterial small subunit ribosomal RNA", at positions 329 to 793 of the family's 1533-position model. The record is from RNAcentral.
UUCCAGACUCCUACGGGAGGCAGCAGUGGGGAAUCUUGCGCAAUGGGCGGAAGCCUGACGCAGCGACGCCGCGUGCGGGACGAAGGCCUUCGGGUCGUAAACCGCUUUCAGCAGGGACGAGGCCCUCACGGUGACGGUACCUGCAGAAGAAGCCCCGGCUAACUACGUGCCAGCAGCCGCGGUAAUACGUAGGGGGCGAGCGUUAUCCGGAUUUAUUGGGUUUAAAGGGUGCGUAGGCGGAUUUUUAAGUCAGCGGUAAAAUGUCCGGGCUCAACCCGGGCCGGCCGUUGAAACUGGGGAUCUUGAGUGGGCGAGAAGUAUGCGGAAUGCGUGGUGUAGCGGUGAAAUGCAUAGAUAUCACGCAGAACUCCGAUUGCGAAGGCAGCAUACCGGCGCCCGACUGACGCUGAGGCACGAAAGCGUGGGGAUCGAACAGGAUUAGAUACCCCUGUAAG